Molecule: long non-coding RNA, 331 nt
Filed under: Cucumis sativus (cucumber)
Lineage: Eukaryota; Viridiplantae; Streptophyta; Magnoliopsida; Cucurbitales; Cucurbitaceae
Description: long non-coding RNA (CSAT_LNC002381)
Source: RNAcentral
CUGCUCCUCUACCUCGGCCUCCUGCUCCUCUACCUCGGCCUCUACGACCUCCUCUACGUACUUCUUCCCUUGGCGGCAUAAUUCCUAUUAUCCACCAACAACACUCUUUAACAAAAUCUUAAUCAUAAACAUAAGCAAGUCUUUAUCGUCAUGCAAUCUAGUUUAAUUUAGGCAAGGUCAUGCAAAUAAACCAUACAUAUAAGCAUCAAGCAUACCUGACGAGAGACGAAGGGUCGCGUUAGCCAUAGGAACACAAAAACAUAGACUUACAUCGUAAGUCAGUCUACAGAACCUAAAACUUAGGCUCUGAUACCAACUGUAACGACCCAAC